UAAUACGUAUGGUGCAAGCGUUAUCCGGAUUUACUGGGUGUAAAGGGAGCGUAGACGGAGUGGCAAGUCUGAUGUGAAAACCCGGGGCUCAACCCCGGGACUGCAUUGGAAACUGUCAAUCUAGAGUACCGGAGAGGUAAGCGGAAUUCCUAGUGUAGCGGUGAAAUGCGUAGAUAUUAGGAGGAACACCAGUGGCGAAGGCGGCUUACUGGACGGUAACUGACGUUGAGGCUCGAAAGCGUGGGGAGCAAACAGGAUUAGAUACCCUGGUAGUCCACGCCGUAAACGAUGACUACUAGGUGUCGGGCAGCAAAGCUGUUCGGUGCCGCAGCAAACGCAAUAAGUAGUCCACCUGGGGAGUACGUUCGCAAGAAUG
This 376-nucleotide ribosomal RNA is filed under the name uncultured bacterium. RNAcentral describes it as "bacterial SSU rRNA". It matches the Rfam family "Bacterial small subunit ribosomal RNA", at positions 521 to 896 of the family's 1533-position model. The record is from RNAcentral.